This 669-nucleotide ribosomal RNA is filed under the name uncultured bacterium. RNAcentral's name for it is "bacterial SSU rRNA". It matches the Rfam family "Bacterial small subunit ribosomal RNA", at positions 1 to 662 of the family's 1533-position model. The record is from RNAcentral.
GCCCUUAGAGUUUGAUCCUGGCUCAGAUUGAACGCUGGCGGCAGGCUUAACACAUGCAAGUCGAGCGGUAACAGGGGAAGCUUGCUUCCCGCUGACGAGCGGCGGACGGGUGAGUAAUGCUUAGGAAUCUGCCCAGUAGUGGGGGAUAGCCCGGGGAAACCCGGAUUAAUACCGCAUACGUCCUACGGGAGAAAGCAGGGGAUCUUCGGACCUUGCGCUAUUGGAUGAGCCUAAGUCGGAUUAGCUAGUUGGUGGGGUAAAGGCCUACCAAGGCGACGAUCCGUAGCUGGUCUGAGAGGAUGAUCAGCCACAUCGGGACUGAGACACGGCCCGAACUCCUACGGGAGGCAGCAGUGGGGAAUAUUGGACAAUGGGGGCAACCCUGAUCCAGCCAUGCCGCGUGUGUGAAGAAGGCUUUCGGGUUGUAAAGCACUUUCAGUAGGGAGGAAAACCUUAUGGUUAAUACCCAUGAGGCUUGACGUUACCUACAGAAGAAGCACCGGCUAACUCCGUGCCAGCAGCCGCGGUAAUACGGAGGGUGCAAGCGUUAAUCGGAAUUACUGGGCGUAAAGCGCGCGUAGGUGGUUUGGUAAGCGAGAUGUGAAAGCCCCGGGCUUAACCUGGGAACGGCAUUUCGAACUGUCAGACUAGAGUGUGGUAGAGGGUAGU